UACGGGAGGCAGCAGUGGGGAAUAUUGCACAAUGGGCGCAAGCCUGAUGCAGCCAUGCCGCGUGUAUGAAAAAGGCCUUCGGGUUGUAAAGUACUUUCAGUCGUGAGGAAGGUGUUAAGGUUAAUAACCUUAGCAAUUGACGUUAGCGACAGAAGAAGCACCGGCUAACUCCGUGCCAGCAGCCGCGGUAAUACGGAGGGUGCGAGCGUUAAUCGGAAUUACUGGGCGUAAAGGGCACGCAGGCGGUUAAUUAAGUUGGAUGUGAAAUCCCCGGGCUUAACCUGGGAAUGGCAUUCAAGACUGGUUAGCUAGAGUCUUGUAGAGGGGGUAGAAUUCCAUGUGUAGCGGUGAAAUGCGUAGAAAUGUGGAGGAAUACCGGUGGCGAAGGCGGCCCCUGGACAAAGACUGACGCUCAUGUGCGAAAGCGUGGGGAGCAAACGAGGGAUUAGAUACC
Molecule: ribosomal RNA, 454 nt
Filed under: uncultured bacterium
Lineage: Bacteria
Description: bacterial SSU rRNA
Rfam family: Bacterial small subunit ribosomal RNA
Source: RNAcentral